CCUACGGGUGGCAGCAGUGGGGGAUAUUGCACAAUGGGGGGAACCCUGAUGCAGCGACGCCGCGUGGGUGAAGAAGCGCCUCGGCGCGUAAAGUCCUGUCAGCCGGGAAGAAAAUGACGGUACCUGAAGAAGUAGCCCCGGCUAACUCCGUGCCAGCAGCCGCGGUAAUACGGAGGGGGAAAGCGUUAUCCGGUUUUACUGGGUGUAAAGGGGGCGCAGACGGCGGUGCAAGCCAGGAGUGAAAGCCCGGGGCCCAACCCCGGGACUGCUCUUGGAGCUGCUUGGCGGGAGUGCAGGAGGGGCAGGUGGAAUUCCUGGUGUAGCGGUGAAAUGCGUAGAUAUGAGGAGGAACACCGGUGGCGAAGGCGGCCUGCUGGACUGCAACUGACGUUGAGGCCCGAAAGCGUGGGGAGCAAACAGGAUUAGAUACCCGAGUAGUC
This 440-nucleotide ribosomal RNA is filed under the name uncultured bacterium. Its description in RNAcentral is "partial 16S ribosomal RNA". It matches the Rfam family "Bacterial small subunit ribosomal RNA", at positions 338 to 795 of the family's 1533-position model. The record is from RNAcentral.